Molecule: long non-coding RNA, 743 nt
Organism: Hyla sarda
Lineage: Eukaryota; Metazoa; Chordata; Amphibia; Anura; Hylidae
Exons: 3
Source: RefSeq, a predicted model, not a curated record
UUGGUUGCUAUGGGCAACUCAGCAACUUUUCCUCUGAACAGGUUAUGCUAAAUCUCCCCCCAUUUUGUCCUGCGCGUAGUUGUAGUUACGGUAGACAGCGCUAUUCCUCUCCUGGGUACAGUAAAGACCAGAUGUCUCAGAGUCAGUGUCCAGCAUAUCUGGAGGCCUCAAGCCUAACCUACAGCCACAUGCUAAUGCUGUAUCCAAGCUAGACAAAGCACCUCAGGGCGUGAAACUAGUCGCUUCUUCUAUUGAUCCUUCAACGUCCCCCUGUGUCUUGGUCCCGGAAUAAAGUUUACAGUUUUCAGCAUCUACAGUGCGGAUUUUCCUAUCUUCCAUGGACUUGUAAUUAUCUAUAUACAGCCUGCACCUCCAAGUAUUUGCACUGAACCCAGUUGUUUCCUGCAAGCUCGGUUUUUCUUUUUCGGUUUUUCAUUUUUGGGAUUUUUUACACACAGUGCCACUUCUCCCUCCCUUUUUUUCAAUUAUAGUAAUUAUAUUCCUGUACAUAUGAGAUAGUAUUAUAGUAUUUCUAAUGGCAGCACAGCUGGUUUUAGUGAAUCCCUCUAUUCUUACCUCAGUAAGAUUUAUUGUUAGCCGUCUGUAACAUAUUUAUAUACAUGAGACCAAAGAUAACACUUUUAAGAUGAAAUCUAUCUCCAUAAGAGCGAGUGUUGUAAGUGUAAUAGUGAAGGGCUAUAUACACUGUUUAUAUAUAGAGGACAAGGUUCAUCUAUAGCUCC